This 424-nucleotide long non-coding RNA is filed under the name Equus caballus (horse). RNAcentral describes it as "lncRNA (ENSECAG00000048820.1)". The record is from RNAcentral. Lineage: Eukaryota; Metazoa; Chordata; Mammalia; Perissodactyla; Equidae.
CUAGAGGUGAUUUCUGCUGACAGGGUCACAGCGGAGCCUGAAACACGUCCAUCAGAUUUAUCAAUGUGAACGUCAUCGGUGACGUUGGCAGGAGCAGUUAGUAACUCAAUAAUGUCGGAAGCCACAAAGUGUGGAAGAGGGAAAGGUUCCAUGGUCUGCAGCUAAGAACCUUAACCAAUAACACAGCGAGUCACUCCAGAUACGGUUGCAGUAACUGACCCUCCAGGGUGCGAGAGUCUCGCCUGGGAAUGGGAUUGGCCAUCUGACCUGGCUGGGUGUGAAGGUGAUGAAGAUCCUACUAGUGCUGGGGCAGUCAUGCCUCCCUAGAGAGGUCACCACAUAUGCAGAUGCCCAAAUAAGAUAUUGUUACCGGCAACAUUCUUGUCAUAUGUCUUCUGAUGUGCGUGGCAAAAAUUUCUCUUGG